GACGAACGCUGGCGGCGUGCUUAACACAUGCAAGUCGAACGGAAAGGCCCUGCUUUUGUGGGGUGCUCGAGUGGCGAACGGGUGAGUAACACGUGAGUAACCUGCCCUUGACUUUGGGAUAACUUCAGGAAACUGGGGCUAAUACCGGAUAGGAGCUCCUGCUGCAUGGUGGGGGUUGGAAAGUUUCGGCGGUUGGGGAUGGACUCGCGGCUUAUCAGCUUGUUGGUGGGGUAGUGGCUUACCAAGGCUUUGACGGGUAGCCGGCCUGAGAGGGUGACCGGCCACAUGGGGACGGGGAACCGGCCCAACCUCCUACGGGAGGCAGGAGGGGGGAAUUUUGCACAAGGGGCGGAGGCCGGAUGCAGUAACCCCGGGUGGGGGAUGGCGGCCUUCGGGUUGUAACCCGCUUUCCCCUGGAACGAAGCGUGAGGGAGGGUAAUGGGGAAAAAAGCACCGGCUACCUACGG
RNAcentral lists this ribosomal RNA (467 nucleotides) under uncultured bacterium. RNAcentral's name for it is "partial 16S ribosomal RNA". It matches the Rfam family "Bacterial small subunit ribosomal RNA", at positions 28 to 506 of the family's 1533-position model. The record is from RNAcentral.